Molecule: ribosomal RNA, 497 nt
Filed under: uncultured bacterium
Lineage: Bacteria
Description: partial 16S ribosomal RNA
Rfam family: Bacterial small subunit ribosomal RNA
Source: RNAcentral
GAUGAACGCUGGCGGCGUGCCUAAUACAUGCAAGUCGAGCGAACAGACGAGGAGCUUGCUCCUCUGACGUUAGCGGCGGACGGGUGAGUAACACGUGGAUAACCUACCUAUCAGAGUGGGAUAACUUCGGGAAACCGGAGCUAAUACCGGAUAAUAUAUUGAACCGCAUGGUUGAAUAGUGAAAGUCGGUUUUGCUGUCUCUUAUCGAUGGAUCCGCGCCGCAUUAUCUGGUUGUUAAGGUAACGGCUUACCACGGCGACGAUGCGUAGCCGAGCUGAGAGGGUGAUCGGCCCCACUGGAACUGAGAGACGGUCCAGACUCCUACGGGAGGCAGAAGCAGGGACUCUACGCAACAGGGCGAAAGCCUGACGAAGCAACGCCGCGUGGAUGAUGAAGGUCUUCGGGUGGGAAAACUCUGUUAUUAGGGAAGAACAAAUGUAUAAGUAACUAUGCACGUCUUGACGGUACCUAAUCAGAAAGCCACGGCUAACUACGUG